UACAUUUAAUACUCCAGCUAUCCGGUUUGAAAUUCAAAUUGUUGUCCAAAAUUAGAUUACUCCCUCCCGAAGUUGAAGUCAAUUUCGUAAGUACUCUUUAAUUUUAGUUUUUUACCUCUUCUUUUUUUUUUACUUAUUCAAAAUUUGUAUAUGUGUUCUGUUUAUUAUUUUUUUCAUAUAUUUUGAUGAAAUAAUCGAUUUUUUGUUCUUGAUAGAUCUAAAAUUGGUCACACAAUGAAUGAAUCAUCUUCAUCUUUGAGGAUUACCAGAGGGUCAUUGGGAAAAUCAAAUCAAGUUAUACAAGAACAAACAAUGGAAGAGCUUAGAUCAAAG
This is a non-coding RNA of Solanum lycopersicum (tomato), 333 nucleotides long. Lineage: Eukaryota; Viridiplantae; Streptophyta; Magnoliopsida; Solanales; Solanaceae. The record is from RefSeq and is a predicted model, not a curated record.